UAGCUCAGUGGUAUAGCACUUGCCUCCCAUGUAUGAGGUACUGAGUUCAAUUCUCAG
This 57-nucleotide transfer RNA is filed under the name Ictidomys tridecemlineatus (thirteen-lined ground squirrel). Its description in RNAcentral is "Spermophilus tridecemlineatus (thirteen-lined ground squirrel) tRNA". It matches the Rfam family "tRNA", at positions 8 to 63 of the family's 71-position model. Rfam says of the family: Transfer RNA (tRNA) molecules are approximately 80 nucleotides in length. Their secondary structure includes four short double-helical elements and three loops (D, anti-codon, and T loops). The record is from Rfam by way of RNAcentral. Lineage: Eukaryota; Metazoa; Chordata; Mammalia; Rodentia; Sciuridae.